CCACAAUUGUGAAAAACCCCCUGCAUUCAAACUGCUCAAAAACUGCCACUGCGUACCGGUACACGGGCCCACGUACCGAUAUACAUCCCACGAAAAUGCCAAACCCGAGCCUCGGAUUUGCCUCAAAACUGCCUGUGUACCGGUACACAAUCCCGUACCGGUACAACCAUCAACCCUAUACCGGUACAACCAUCAACCCUGUACCGGUACACAGCCCAAUAAGGGCUACCCGAGAGCUAACCAAAAAUUCGAU
RNAcentral lists this long non-coding RNA (253 nucleotides) under Ananas comosus (pineapple). Its description in RNAcentral is "long non-coding RNA (ACOM_LNC035151)". Lineage: Eukaryota; Viridiplantae; Streptophyta; Magnoliopsida; Poales; Bromeliaceae. The record is from RNAcentral.